This 524-nucleotide ribosomal RNA is filed under the name Bacteroides sp. CO55. RNAcentral's name for it is "bacterial SSU rRNA". It matches the Rfam family "Bacterial small subunit ribosomal RNA", at positions 8 to 521 of the family's 1533-position model. Lineage: Bacteria; Pseudomonadati; Bacteroidota; Bacteroidia; Bacteroidales; Bacteroidaceae. The record is from RNAcentral.
AGAGUUUGAUCCUGGCUCAGGAUGAACGCUAGCUACAGGCUUAACACAUGCAAGUCGAGGGGCAGCAUGGUCUUAGCUUGCUAAGGCCGAUGGCGACCGGCGCACGGGUGAGUAACACGUAUCCAACCUGCCGUCUACUCUUGGACAGCCUUCUGAAAGGAAGAUUAAUACAAGAUGGCAUCAUGAGUCCGCAUGUUCACAUGAUUAAAGGUAUUCCGGUAGACGAUGGGGAUGCGUUCCAUUAGAUAGUAGGCGGGGUAACGGCCCACCUAGUCUUCGAUGGAUAGGGGUUCUGAGAGGAAGGUCCCCCACAUUGGAACUGAGACACGGUCCAAACUCCUACGGGAGGCAGCAGUGAGGAAUAUUGGUCAAUGGGCGCAAGCCUGAACCAGCCAAGUAGCGUGAAGGAUGACUGCCCUAUGGGUUGUAAACUUCUUUUAUAAAGGAAUAAAGUCGGGUAUGGAUACCCGUUUGCAUGUACUUUAUGAAUAAGGAUCGGCUAACUCCGUGCCAGCAGCCGCGGU